ACUGAAGAGACUCUGCACGGGAGUAGGUGAUUUACAAAAGAUGCAGGAAGUAAUGACAAUCAAAUCAAGAGCUAUAUACUGAAUUAUGCAUUUGUGCAACUCUGGUAUACAUCUGGAAAUGUGAGCGGCUUUUGAUCGCAAGGAAGUGGAAUAUUUUUCAUAUUCUCCAGUACACCAAUUCAACUCAGCCUCUGAAGCCCAC
This 202-nucleotide long non-coding RNA is filed under the name Fukomys damarensis (Damara mole-rat). Its description in RNAcentral is "lncRNA (ENSFDAG00000021726.1)". The record is from RNAcentral. Lineage: Eukaryota; Metazoa; Chordata; Mammalia; Rodentia; Bathyergidae.